RNAcentral lists this ribosomal RNA (497 nucleotides) under uncultured bacterium. RNAcentral's name for it is "partial 16S ribosomal RNA". It matches the Rfam family "Bacterial small subunit ribosomal RNA", at positions 28 to 507 of the family's 1533-position model. The record is from RNAcentral.
GAUGAACGCUGGCGGCGUGCCUAAUACAUGCAAGUCGAGCGAACAGAUAAGGAGCUUGCGCCUUUGACGUUAGCGGCGGACGGGUGAGUAACACGUGGGUAACCUACCUAUAAGACUGGGAUAACUUCGGGAAACCGGAGCUAAUACCGGAUAACAUUUGGAACCGCGUGGUUCUAAAGUGAAAGAUGGUUGUGCUAUCACUUAUAGAUGGACACGGGCCGUAUUAGCUAGUUGGUAAGGUAACGGCUUACCAAGGCAACGAUACGUAGCCGACCUGAGAGGGGGGUAGCCCGCAUGGGAAGGGAGACACGCACAAGACGCCUAAGGGAGGCAGCAGUAGGGAAUCGGCGGCAAUGGGCGAAAGCCUGACGGAGCAACGCCGAGUGAGUGACGAAGGGUUUGGGCGCGGAAAACUCGGUUAUUAGGGAAGAACAGAUGUGUAAGGAGAUGAGCAGGUAUUGACGGUACUUGAUCAGAAAGCCACGGCUAACUACGUG